CAGGUCUUGACAUCCCACUGACCGGCUUAGGGAUAGGCUUUUCCCUUCGGGGACAGUGGUGACAGGUGGUGCAUGGUUGUCGUCAGCUCGUGUCGUGAGAUGUUGGGUUAAGUCCCGCAACGAGCGCAACCCUUGAUCUUAGUUGCCAGCAUUCAGUUGGGCACUCUAAGGUGACUGCCGGUGAUAAACCGGAGGAAGGUGGGGAUGACGUCAAAUCAUCAUGCCCCUUAUGACCUGGGCUACACACGUGCUACAAUGGACGAUACAAAGGGCUGCAAACCCGCGAGGGGGAGCCAAUCCCAUAAAAUCGUUCUCAGUUCGGAUUGUAGGCUGCAACUCGCCUACAUGAAGCCGGAAUCGCUAGUAAUCGUGGAUCAGCAUGCCACGGUGAAUACGUUCCC
Molecule: ribosomal RNA, 401 nt
Filed under: uncultured bacterium
Lineage: Bacteria
Description: bacterial SSU rRNA
Rfam family: Bacterial small subunit ribosomal RNA
Source: RNAcentral